This is a non-coding RNA of Streptococcus sp. DORA_10, 97 nucleotides long. Lineage: Bacteria; Bacillati; Bacillota; Bacilli; Lactobacillales; Streptococcaceae. The record is from Rfam.
UGUGCUAUACUAGUAAGGUUGAUUCAAGCAACCCUUGGUGCUUAGCUUCUUUCACCAAGCAUAUUAUACGCGGGAAACCGCCAAAGGAGAAAAGAUG